GACGAACGCUGGCGGCGUGCUUAACACAUGCAAGUCGAACGGAAAGGCCUGCUUUCCCUUGUGGAUUGCGGGUACUCGAGUGGCGAACGGGUGAGUAACACGUGAGUGAUCUGCCCCCAACUUGGGUAUAAGCCUGGGAAACUGGGUCUAAUUCCCGAUAGGACUGCAGGGUGGUGCCUGUGGUGGAAAACGAUUUUCUAGUGGUUGGGGAUGAGCUCGCGGCCUAUCAGCUUGUUGGUGGGGUAAUGGCCUACCAAGGCGGCGACGGGUAGCCGGCCUGGGAGGGUGGGCGGCCACAUUGGGACUGGGGUACGGCCCCGACUCCUACGGGAGGCAGCAGUGGGGAAUAUUGCACAAUGGGCGGAAGCCUGAUGCAGCGACGCCGCGUGGGGGAUGACGGCCUUCGGGUUGUAAACUCCUUUCGACCGCGAGGAAGCCACCUGGUUGGAAGGGUGGUGACGGUAGUGGUAGAAGAAGCACCGGCUAACUACGUG
RNAcentral lists this ribosomal RNA (494 nucleotides) under uncultured bacterium. RNAcentral describes it as "partial 16S ribosomal RNA". It matches the Rfam family "Bacterial small subunit ribosomal RNA", at positions 28 to 507 of the family's 1533-position model. The record is from RNAcentral.